This 496-nucleotide ribosomal RNA is filed under the name uncultured bacterium. RNAcentral's name for it is "partial 16S ribosomal RNA". It matches the Rfam family "Bacterial small subunit ribosomal RNA", at positions 28 to 506 of the family's 1533-position model. The record is from RNAcentral.
GAUGAACGCUGGCGGCGUGCCUAAUACAUGCAAGUCGAGCGAACAGACGAGGAGCUUGCUCCUCUGACGUUAGCGGCGGACGGGUGAGUAACACGUGGAUAACCUACCUAUAAGACUGGGAUAACUUCGGGAAACCGGAGCUAAUACCGGAUAAUAUAUUGAACCGCAUGGUUCAAUAGUGAAAGACGGUUUUGCUGUCACUUAUAGAUGGAUCCGCGCCGCAUUAGCUAGUUGGUAAGGUAACGGCUUACCAAGGCAACGAUGCGUAGCCGACCUGAGAGGGUGAUCGGCCACACUGGAACUGAGACACGGUCCAGACUCCUACGGGAGGCAGCAGUAGGGAAUCUUCCGCAGUGGGCGAAAGCCUGACGGAGCAACGCCGCGUGAGUGAUGAAGGUCUUCGGAUCGUAAAACUCUGUUAUUAGGGAAGAACAAAUGUGUAAGUAACUAUGCACGUCUUGACGGUACCAAAUCAGAGAGCCACGGCUAACUACGU